GCCCGGAUGGUCUAGAGGUAUGAUUCUCGCUUCGGGUUACUCUCGGGUCAUCACAAUGAUCUAAAUAUGCGAGAGGUCCCGCGUUCGAAUCGCGGUUCGGGCC
Aspergillus taichungensis is the source of this 103-nucleotide non-coding RNA. NCBI's taxonomy places the organism in Eukaryota, Fungi, Ascomycota, Eurotiomycetes, Eurotiales, Aspergillaceae. The record is from the annotation of a GenBank genome assembly.